This 803-nucleotide ribosomal RNA is filed under the name uncultured bacterium. Its description in RNAcentral is "bacterial SSU rRNA". It matches the Rfam family "Bacterial small subunit ribosomal RNA", at positions 8 to 812 of the family's 1533-position model. The record is from RNAcentral.
AGAGUUUGCCCCUGAAUCAGGAUGAACGCUGGCGGCGUGCUUAACACAUGCAAGUCGAACGGGAAACCUUUUAUUGAAGCUUCGGCAGAUUUAGCUGGUUUCUAGUGGCGGACGGGUGAGUAACGCGUGGGUAACCUGCCUUAUACAGGGGGAUAACAGUCAGAAAUGGCUGCUAAUACCGCAUAAGCGCACAGAGCUGCAUGGCUCAGUGUGAAAAACUCCGGUGGUAUAAGAUGGACCCGCGUUGGAUUAGCUGGUUGGUGGGGUAACGGCCCACCAAGGCGACGAUCCAUAGCCGGCCUGAGAGGGUGAACGGCCACAUUGGGACUGAGACACGGCCCAGACUCCUACGGGAGGCAGCAGUGGGGAAUAUUGCACAAUGGGGGAAACCCUGAUGCAGCGACGCCGCGUGAAGGAAGAAAUAUCUCGGUAUGUAAACUUCUAUCAGCAGGGAAGAUAGUGACGGUACCUGACUAAGAAGCCCCGGCUAACUACGUGCCAGCAGCCGCGGUAAUACGUAGGGGGCAAGCGUUAUCCGGAUUUACUGGGUGUAAAGGGAGCGUAGACGGUGUGGCAAGUCUGAUGUGAAAGGCAUGGGCUCAACCUGUGGACUGCAUUGGAAACUGUCAUACUUGAGUGCCGGAGGGGUAAGCGGAAUUCCUAGUGUAGCGGUGAAAUGCGUAGAUAUUAGGAGGAACACCAGUGGCGAAGGCGGCUUACUGGACGGUAACUGACGUUGAGGCUCAAAAGCGUGGGGAGCAAACAGGAUUAGAUACCCUGGUAGUCCACGCCGUAAACGAUGA